This 1896-nucleotide long non-coding RNA is filed under the name Fukomys damarensis (Damara mole-rat). RNAcentral describes it as "lncRNA (ENSFDAG00000025490.1)". Lineage: Eukaryota; Metazoa; Chordata; Mammalia; Rodentia; Bathyergidae. The record is from RNAcentral.
CCCCCCCCCGCCCCCGCCCCGGGAGGGUAUGCGGGUGCCCUCGUCCAGGAGCGUCCUACCGGCUCCCCCGGCUUUGGGCCGAGAGCAACCUGAGCUCUCUGAACUAAAGCUCCCACAUGGGCUCUGUACAGCAAAUGGAUAUGACUAAGGUUAAAUCUCAGGACUCCUCAGUCUACCUCAAGCCAUUCCUGAUUUACCUGGGGACGGUGGCACACGAAUGCUGUCUGUUCACCCUGUCUCACUCUGGAGCCCUUCCUGCGCACACAGGUGCCUGGUAUUGUCCCCCACAAGACUGCAAAUGCAAGAGGAGACCUGUGCAGGAGGGGACAGAAGACGGCCUUGGACUCUCCUGGCACUCAAUGCUUUGAGGUAUCUUCAGGGAAAGCCUCGGAGAGCAGGAUGUCUGGGCUGACAUUUUCCUCUGUCUCAGACUGAGGCGACUUGCUCCAAGGGUGCUACUGUGCAAGGUCACACAGGACAUCCGUGCCAUCCCGGCCCUGCUAGUUCACCGGGUGGCAUCAGGCGCGCUCCCUCAUCUCCCUCAUCUCCCUCCCGGCCUUCACGUGGAGGACCUCGGCCCCUCUGCACCUCUCAAGAAUUUCCAUUGCAUUUGAGGCUCUGCAGCUAGAUCAAGCUCUACAUGCAGAUUUUCCCCAGUGUGCAUGUGAACAAACAGGAGACCCACAGAAAGGAAGCUGUGUUUCUAAUCAAGCUUUCAUCUCGAUUCCCCGCUGCUCCCGUUGAUAGUCCCAGCAUAAAUGAUUGAGUCGUACCUGGCAUAUAAUUUGCACCCGCUUAACAUGAUUACAGUAAUAUUUCACUGAAAGGGGGAAUUUUUAAAAAUAAAUUGCAAAAGUGCACAUUUAAAAACAGUUGAUGGCAGAAUAGAUAUUCACUUUGGCUUCAUUAACAGAAAAUAAGAGGAAAUGAGUCAAGUGAUUCAGCACCCAAUGUUGUCCUUUUGCAUGCGAGUUUCCACAAUUAGCAGCAGCUGUAUAGGCUUAGGAGCAACUGUUACUUCCAUUGAGAAUGUGGUACAAUAAUCUUAGAACCUGAAACCACUGUCCUCAGACCAUACAUUCCUAACUUGGGUCAGAUAUUUUCUCUUUGUUCUGUAGAUGCCUGGAACUCAGUCUCUCCUCAGGAAUACUUGUCUAAGGUGAUGUAAGUAUGGAUAGUUGAGUCAUUGGGAUCAGCACUAAGAACGAACAGUACCGUUAACAGACAUCUGUGUUUUCUAUGAUUGGUCUGUGAUUUAUUUUCCAUUGCGAAUGAUUUUCUUAGUUUGGUUUUGGUUUUGUAAGUGUCUUUAUUAAUUUAAAAGUACACAGAGCUAUAAUUGAGACGCCUUUAAUCAAUAAGCAAGUUGAUAUUUCCCAUCAGAGCAAGUCUCUCGAAAUAAGACAAAAUGUUAAGUACAAAUCAGCUGUACUUGUUAAUCCUUGAUUAUACUAUGAUUCCUUUCCUUAAAGAUUAUUUUCAUAUAUUUUUGGCAUAGAUUCUUUCUCAUACACGCUUGCCCUUGGGCCUUUUUGACCACACUUGGCCCCUCCUGAACCAGUCUAUCGGGAUUUUACCUAUUACUCUUCUGUCUACAUAAGGAAAUGAUUUUCUUUUCCCCCUGCUGGGAUCACUUUAGAGACCCCUACCCUUGCUUCUUUGCAUGGUCUCUUUCCUGGAAAUUCUGUUUCACACGAAGAAGUGUCUGGAUUAUGGCUCCUGCUCCAACUUCAUCGUAUUCCAGUAGGUUGUUUUGCAUUUGAAGUUCACAAGGGAGCUUCUUUCUAUGGAAAGCACUAAAUGGCAAGCUAGCAGUUUAUAGGCAUUUUUUUGAUACUCAAAAUUUGAGAUUAUAUGAGAUAAUAGGAAUUUUUUCUAUAAGAUUUAAUUAACAGA